GACGAACGCUGGCGGCGUGCUUAACACAUGCAAGUCGAACGCUGAAGAUCUGGCUUUUGUUGGGUUGGAUGAGUGGCGAACGGGUGAGUAACACGUGAGUAACCUGCCCUCUUCUUUGGGAUAACGCCCGGAAACGGGUGCUAAUACUGGAUAUUCACUGAUCUUCGCAUGGGGGUUGGUGGAAAGGUUUGUUCUGGUGGGGGAUGGGCUCGCGGCCUAUCAGCUUGUUGGUGGGGUGAUGGCCUACCAAGGCUUUGACGGGUAGCCGGCCUGAGAGGGUGACCGGUCACAUUGGGACUGAGAUACGGCCCAGACUCCUACGGGAGGCAGCAGUGGGGAAUAUUGCACAAUGGGCGAAAGCCUGAUGCAGCGACGCCGCGUGAGGGAUGGAGGCCUUCGGGUUGUAAACCUCUUUCGCUCAUGGUCAAGCCGCAACUGUGGGUUGUGGUGAGGGUAGUGGGUAAAGAAGCGCCGGCUAACUACGUG
This 486-nucleotide ribosomal RNA is filed under the name uncultured bacterium. RNAcentral describes it as "partial 16S ribosomal RNA". It matches the Rfam family "Bacterial small subunit ribosomal RNA", at positions 28 to 507 of the family's 1533-position model. The record is from RNAcentral.